This 515-nucleotide ribosomal RNA is filed under the name uncultured Entrophosporaceae. RNAcentral describes it as "SSU rRNA". It matches the Rfam family "Eukaryotic small subunit ribosomal RNA", at positions 569 to 1082 of the family's 1831-position model. Lineage: Eukaryota; Fungi; Glomeromycota; Glomeromycetes; Entrophosporales; Entrophosporaceae. The record is from RNAcentral.
AGCAGCCGCGGUAAUUCCAGCUCCAAUAGCGUAUAUUAAAGUUGUUGCAGUUAAAAAGCUCGUAGUUGAAUUUCGGGAUUGACGUGACGGUCAUGCCUUAAGGGGUAUGAACUGUUACAGUUGAUUUCUCACCUUCUGGAGAAACUUGAUGUCCUUUAUUGGGUGUCUUGCGGAUCCAGGACCUUUACCUUGAAAAAUUAGAGUGUUUAAAGCAGGCAUUUUUGCUCGAAUACAUUAGCAUGGAAUAAUAGAAUAGGACGGCAUGGUUCUAUUUUGUUGGUUUCUAGGAUCACCGUAAUGAUUAAUAGGGAUAGUUGGGGGCAUUAGUACUCAAUUGUCAGAGGUGAAAUUCUUGGAUUUAUUGAAGACUAACUACUGCGAAAGCAUUUGCCAAGGAUGUUUUCAUUAAUCAAGAACGAAAGUUAGGGGAUCGAAGACGAUCAGAUACCGUCGUAGUCUUAACCAUAAACUAUGCCGACUAGGAAUCAGACGAUGUUAAUUUUUUAAUGUACUCG